UACAGACGUAGACAAAAGUCAUUAGAAAUGGUGUCGACAAACGAAGAUAUUGUUGGAAUCAAGACAAGUUUGAUGUAUCCACGAGAAGAAGAAACACGUGAUUCAAAGAGAUAUGUUGCUUUUAAUUACCAGAAAAAAGAUUACAAAUUCCAUCCUCUAGAGAUAAAUUUCGCCCAGUCUAUAUUAAGCUCAAGCAGAACGAUUAAUUACAUGGACCUCUUCCAAUGUUCUCAAGAUAAAACUGAUUAUGGAUCAGGAUCAGAUUCUGCCGAGGAAGAAUGGAGUCCAUAUAGCUCUACAGAUAACCUAAUGUAUGAAGAAAUGGCACCUUCUGGAAAAACAAACAAAAAUAGUUCAAGACAACAACGGCUUCAAAGGUCUUCUUGUCAAAUUGACGAACAACUUGUAGAACAAAGUGCUUUGUUUUUUGAAAAAGACUGUGUAGUGCAGCAUAUGACCGGACCAAAUGUACAAGAAGACAAUACAACAGCACGUGGGACUCUUGCAUGAUCAGGAAAAGGAUAUAAUUCGAUAUUAUUACCAAUGCUUGAAGUCCUAUCAGUUAAAAAUGUAGUGAUGCCUGAGAAUUACUAUACGCGGUUGGCUACCUUUCGUGAAAAUAAGGUAUGCUGGCCACAUGAUAAUCCUUCUGCAGAAGACAUGACCAUUGCUGGAUUUAUUUUCAGAGGCGUGUUUACGACAGUCUGUGAUAAGGUCGAGUGUGACAAAUGUGGAGGGACACUCUAUGGAUUUGAGGAAGGAGACGAUCCCAUUGCAGAACAUGAAAGAUUAUAUCCGCAGUGUAAAUGAAAGAUAUAACAUUCAGAAGACCAUCAGAGAACUUUAGGCUUUAAUUCACAUAGGAAAUUAUGACAGGACUAUUUUCUUUUUCCUUAUGGGGGCAAUGGCUUUUUGAUUUAAUUUCAACUCCUUCUAAAAUACAAAAGUUUAAGAAUACCUUAUACAGCACGCGUUAGUUGAAAAUCACCUGCUUAGGAGAUCAUAUAUUGAAGGAACAAAUAACCUUAAAUCUAUGAAUGAAGUGAACUAAGAUAGCAACUGAUUGUUAUUGUAUUUUCGAUUUAUUUCCAACACAAUGCAAACAUUGACAGGUCCCAGUUGAAAGUGUAUUACAGUAACAAAGUGGCGAAGCUCUACAAAUGCUAAAGUGUUCAAUCGUUGUGAAGACUGACUAUGAAUAAACAACACUAUAUAUAUAGAAACAGUGUUAUAAUUUCAAGAAGUAGCAUAGAAUCGCUCGAUUCCAACAAUAUGCCUAAAAUUACCUUCUUCACUUGACUCCGAAAUUCACAUUUUUUGGUGACUGACAAACAUACUGAUACGUUUAAAAGAAUAGGAAUUACAUUAAAAAAAUGUUUAUACUGAGUACUUUUAAAUAUUGUAUUAUGAGAACGUUAAUAAUGGCCAAAGCAUAAAUGUAUAUAGCUAUGUAAACAAUUUUUGUACAAUUAUCUACUUAUCUUUUCAAUGCCUGGCACUUUCCUUAUCAGUACGUGUUAAGUAUCAAUAACUGAAUUAGAUCUUUAAAUUUCUUUAAUGCUAUUUUCAAUAUGUCGUGUCAAUUCAAUGAUACAAAGUUCAGGAUGGAUUUAGUUGACAUUUUGAUUCUACUUAAUUCCUUUCUAUUAUGUUCUAUAUUGUGACAAAGUUUUGCCAUAUGGUAGGUUUGUGAAAAUAUCAUACGUUAUAAACAAUACUAUUCAGGUUUUAACCAACUCGAUGGUCCCGCAGCUGCUUCAUGUACGAAAACUAUGAAAAAGCAAGAUAAUACUCUUAAAUAUUAAGCAUUUGGGAUUAUUUUUGUUUUAGAUUGCUUUGUUUGCUUUUUCGAGGAGUUAAUAAUAUUUGUGAUAUCAAAACAAAUCCUUUCGAGAACCAAUAACAUU
Ruditapes philippinarum (Manila clam) is the source of this 1907-nucleotide long non-coding RNA. RefSeq lists it as uncharacterized. Lineage: Eukaryota; Metazoa; Mollusca; Bivalvia; Venerida; Veneridae. The record is from RefSeq and is a predicted model, not a curated record. The transcript has 3 exons.